Molecule: long non-coding RNA, 393 nt
Organism: Fukomys damarensis (Damara mole-rat)
Lineage: Eukaryota; Metazoa; Chordata; Mammalia; Rodentia; Bathyergidae
Exons: 3
Source: RefSeq, a predicted model, not a curated record
CGCCCAGCCCCGGCACUGACCAGGAGGCGGUGCCCGGAGGGCGGGGCCUGGUCCGCCCCUCCCCUUGCACCGAACCGCCCGCCCCGCUGUUCUGGCAGCCACUUCCUACACCUGCCUUCUCACUGUCUCUCUGCGUCUACAGUCUCCAGGGCGGCGGCGGGCAGGCCUGCGUUUCCAUGGGCUCUUUGGGCAUCGCGCUGUGGCUGCGGCCUCUGGGGCUGCCCCAGAGCUCGUGGGUUGGAGCUGCGGUGAGAAUCAGGGAAGGCACUGCACUAUCACAGGAGCACGAGGGAAACCUAAGCAAAGAAGCUGUACAGAGAGAGAAAUAGAUGACAUCACCUGAGUUGAUGGAUGGAUCCAGCCAUACCUGAAACCAGCUAAGCUUUGGUCUUC